GGAAGUAAACGUCGUAACAAGGUUUCCGUAGGUGAACCUGCGGAAGGAUCAUUACAGAGUUCAUGCCCUCACGGGUUGAUCUCCUACCCUUGUAUAUUUUGACCUUAGUUGCUUAGGCAGGCCGUGGAAACACCAUGGGCUCCGGCUUAUGCGUGCCUGCCAGAGGAAACAAACUCUGUUUUUAGUGAUGUCUGAGUACUAUAUAAUAGUUAAAACUUUCAACAACGGAUCUCUUGGUUCUG
Molecule: unclassified non-coding RNA, 242 nt
Filed under: plant metagenome
Description: partial contains small subunit ribosomal RNA, internal transcribed spacer 1, and 5.8S ribosomal RNA
Rfam family: Eukaryotic small subunit ribosomal RNA (bases 1-54)
Source: RNAcentral